RNAcentral lists this long non-coding RNA (585 nucleotides) under Bos taurus (domestic cattle). Its description in RNAcentral is "long non-coding RNA NONBTAT016553". The record is from RNAcentral. Lineage: Eukaryota; Metazoa; Chordata; Mammalia; Artiodactyla; Bovidae.
GUUCGCUUCUCAUGAAUUAUUUUUCUUACAAAUAAUUACAUGGUUCACGAGAUGAGACUAGCACAUUAUCAAGCCCAGGUGACCAGCUUAAUACAAAGGCAAAGAAAACACUGAUUUUCUGACAGCUCUUCCAAAAGAUCAGCCAUUUUAUUUUCAUCAUUAAAAAGCAAGUUUUGAUUGUUUAGGAGUUUCUUGUGAUGAAAAAUCCAGUAAACAGGUAGGAAAGUCUGGGUGCCAGUGUUGUAGCAUCUCGGAUCUAGAACUCAGAACUAACAUUCCACAAUUUCCAGGGUGCACAUAGUAAAAUCUGAGGCCCAGUACUGCAUGUUUUACUGGAGAGGAAGAGUUGGCUGUGCAAGAGGCAAAGUAUUUCUGCAAUCAUUACUGUGGGCCUAAUCCUAGAUCUUUGCUGUUACUGCAGCAUUCUGAGAAGCACUUUGAUUCGGUAAUCAGGCCCUUCACGUGGGAAUAUGAAGAGUUAAUUUCACGUGUGAAUAUUAAACCUUUUACUGAGCACAAUCAAGAAAUUUAUUUAGAACAUGACAGGCAGCUAAAACUAUUAUGCCCACUGUUCAAUUAGGAGCA